Molecule: ribosomal RNA, 380 nt
Filed under: uncultured eukaryote
Lineage: Eukaryota
Description: partial 18S ribosomal RNA
Rfam family: Eukaryotic small subunit ribosomal RNA
Source: RNAcentral
CAAUAGCGUAUAUUAAAGUUGUUGCAGUUAAAAAGCUCGUAGUUGGAUUUGUGGCUGUCACGGGCGGCCUAUCACUUAGUGUUAGUGCUUGCCUGUGUCGCCAUCCUUGGGUGGAGCCCGUGUGGCAUUAGGUUGUCGUGCGGGGGAUGCCCAUCGUUUACUGUGAGAAAAUUAGAGUGUUCAAAGCAGGCUUAUGCCAUUGAAUAUGUUAGCAUGGAAUAAUAGGAUAGGACCUCGGUACUAUUUUGUUGGUUUGCGCACCGAGGUAAUGAUUAAUAGGGACAGUUGGGGGUAUUCGUAUUUCAUUGUCAGAGGUGAAAUUCUUGGAUUUCUGAAAGACGAACUACUGCGAAAGCAUUUACCAAGGAUGUUUUCAUUAA